RNAcentral lists this ribosomal RNA (304 nucleotides) under uncultured soil bacterium. Its description in RNAcentral is "bacterial SSU rRNA". It matches the Rfam family "Bacterial small subunit ribosomal RNA", at positions 62 to 348 of the family's 1533-position model. The record is from RNAcentral.
UCGAGCGGGAUUUCUUUCUGUAGCAAUACAGGAAGAAGUCUAGCGGCGAACGGGUGCAUAACACGUGGGUAAUCUGUCUUAAAGUGGGGGAUAGCUCGGCGAAAGCCGGAUUAAUACCGCAUGUGAUUAGAGGAUACAUCUCUCCGACAUCAAAGGUGGCGCAAGCUACCGCUUUUAGAGGAGCCCGCGGCCUAUCAGCUUGUUGGUGAGGUAACGGCUCACCAAGGCGUUGACGGGUAGCUGGCCUGAGAGGACGACCAGCCACACUGGGACUGAUACUCGUUCUAUACACCUACGGGUUGGC